Molecule: ribosomal RNA, 435 nt
Filed under: uncultured Oscillospiraceae bacterium
Lineage: Bacteria; Bacillati; Bacillota; Clostridia; Eubacteriales; Oscillospiraceae
Description: partial 16S ribosomal RNA
Rfam family: Bacterial small subunit ribosomal RNA
Source: RNAcentral
ACGGGAGGCAGCAGUGAGGAAUAUUGCGCAAUGGAGGAAACUCUGACGCAGCGACGCCGCGUGAGGGAAGAAGGUCUUCGGAUUGUAAACCCCUGUCUUCAGGGAAGAAAUUUGACGGUACCUGGGGAGGAAGCCCCGGCUAACUACGUGCCAGCAGCCGCGGUAAUACGUAGGGGGCUAGCGUUGUCCGGAAUUAUUGGGUGUAAAGGGCGCGUAGGCGGCUUUGUAAGUCAAACGUGAAAUCUGCAAGCUUAACUUGCAGCCUGCGUUUGAUACUGCAUUGCUUGAGUGGAGUAGAGGCAAGUGGAAUUUCCAGUGUAGCGGUGAAAUGCGUAGAUAUUGGAAGGAACACCGGUGGCGAAGGCGGCUUGCUGGGCUCUGACUGACGCUGAGGCGCGAAAGCGUGGGUAGCAAACAGGAUUAGAUACCCUGGUA